This 237-nucleotide ribosomal RNA is filed under the name uncultured bacterium. RNAcentral describes it as "partial 16S ribosomal RNA". It matches the Rfam family "Bacterial small subunit ribosomal RNA", at positions 104 to 339 of the family's 1533-position model. The record is from RNAcentral.
GGGUGAGUAACACGUAUCCAACCUGCCCCAUACUCCGGCAUAGCCUGCCGAAAGGCAGAUUAAUUCCGGAUGAAGUCGCGCGAUCUCCUGGUAUCGCGACCAAAGGUUUAAUCCGGUAUGGGAUGGGGAUGCGUUCCAUUAGGCAGUAGGCGGGGUAACGGCCCACCUAGCCAUUGAUGGAUAGGGGUUCUGAGAGGAAGGCCCCCCACAUUGGAACUGAGACACGGUCCAAACUCC